RNAcentral lists this ribosomal RNA (521 nucleotides) under uncultured bacterium. RNAcentral's name for it is "partial 16S ribosomal RNA". It matches the Rfam family "Bacterial small subunit ribosomal RNA", at positions 28 to 523 of the family's 1533-position model. The record is from RNAcentral.
GACGAACGCUGGCGGCGUGCCUAAUACAUGCAAGUAGGACGCACAGUUUAUACCGUAGCUUGCUACACCAUAGACUGUGAGUUGCGAACGGGUGAGUAACGCGUAGGUAACCUGCCUAUUAGAGGGGGAUAACUAUUGGAAACGAUAGCCAAUACCGCAUAACAGUAUGUAACACAUGUUAGAUGCUUGAAAGAUGCAAUUGCAUCGCUAGUAGAUGGACCUGCGUUGUAUUAGCUAGUAGGUAGGGUAAAGGCCUACCUAGGCAACGAUACAUAGCCGACCUGAGAGGGUGAUCGGCCACACUGGGACUGAGACACGGCCCAGACUCCUACGGGAGGCAGCAGUAGGGAAUCUUCGGCAAUGGGGGGAACCCAGACCGAGCAACGCCGCGUGAGUGAAGAAGGUUUUCGGAUCGUAAAGCUCUGUUGUUAAGGAAGAACGAGUGUGAGAAUGGAAGGUUCAUGCUGUGACGGUACUUAACCAGAAAGGGACGGCUAACUACGUGCCAGCAGCCGCCGUAA